AUUGAACGCUGGCGGCAUGCUUUACACAUGCAAGUCGAACGGUAACAGGCCUUCGGGUGCUGACGAGUGGCGAACGGGUGAGUAAUGCAUCGGAACGUACCCAGAGGUGGGGGAUAACGCAGCGAAAGCUGUGCUAAUACCGCAUGUGAUCUGAGGAUGAAAGCGGGGGACCGAGCCGCAAUGUUUGGCCUCGCGCCUUUGGAGCGGCCGAUGUCGGAUUAGCUAGUUGGUGGGGUAAAGGCCUACCAAGGCGACGAUCCGUAGCUGGUCUGAGAGGACGACCAGCCACACUGGGACUGAGACACGGCCCAGACUCCUACGGGAGGCAGCAGUGGGGAAUUUUGGACAAUGGGCGCAAGCCUGAUCCAGCAAUGCCGCGUGCGGGAAGAAGGCCUUCGGGUUGUAAACCGCUUUUGGCAGGAACGAAACGGUGUCCGCUAAUACCGGGCGCUAAUGACGGUACCUGCAGAAUAAGCACCGGCUAACUACGUG
Molecule: ribosomal RNA, 492 nt
Filed under: uncultured bacterium
Lineage: Bacteria
Description: partial 16S ribosomal RNA
Rfam family: Bacterial small subunit ribosomal RNA
Source: RNAcentral